RNAcentral lists this ribosomal RNA (1017 nucleotides) under Triticum aestivum (bread wheat). RNAcentral's name for it is "partial small subunit ribosomal RNA". Lineage: Eukaryota; Viridiplantae; Streptophyta; Magnoliopsida; Poales; Poaceae. The record is from RNAcentral.
AUGAGGAGCUGGAGGAGCCCACCGGCGGCUUCAGCGACACGCGAGAGCUCGGCGGUCAGCGACGGCUUCGGCACCAUGCAUGUACAAACGAUAACUACGGGACAGGCGGGCUGUGGUGGUGAAGCGGUUGUACAACAACAGCUGCUGGCACGUGCAGCAGUUCAUGAACUAGGCGACGAUCCUGUCGUAGCUGCACCAUCUGAACCUCGUCAUCUUCUACGGAUCCUGUCGCAGCUGCACCACCUGAAUCUCAUCAUCUUCUACGGCUGCACGUCCAGCCGCAUCCUGCUGCCGCUGCUGUGGUCACUCCGCUUCAAUGUCAUCAUCGAGGAAGCUGCAACGCCUCUCCACCCCAUCGAGCCUCCCAUGGUGUACGGUGACGAGAAGACUACCAACAUUCUCCUCAAUGCCGAAUUCCAAGUCAAGGUGGCCGACUUUGGCCUCUCCCGGCUCUUCCCGNNNNNNNNNNNNNNNNNNNNNNNNAAGAACUACUGCAACUCUUUCCUGAAGAAGCGCGUCGAGGGCGCGCCGUCACCAGCCAAGUCCGCCGGCUCGGACGCGCCCCGGAGCCCGACGCCCAGCGAUGGUGGGCGCGAACGCAGCGUCGUUAACCAGCCGUCCAUCUCCGGCUCGUCAGGGCCGCUGGAGUCGUCGUCGACGGCCGACGACUCAAGCAGCCUCACAGUCCCUGGUGCUGCCGCCUCGAUCGGGCCGCACGCGCCCGUGCUCCCCGAGGUCAUGUUCGCAGACUGGCUUGACAAGGACAUGGACAUGGACUACGGCACCAACCUUAUGGCACCGAGCGCGCUGGAGGCGGCCUUCGACGGCAGCCCGGCGCAGCAGGGCAUGAGCCACCAGGGGUCCGUGCAGGUGGAGGGCUUGUGCGGCGCCGUGGACACGUUGCACGGAGUCGGCAACGGCGUAGUCUGUUGGGAGUUCGACGAGGGUCUGAUCCACCUACAGGGAGGAGGAUUUUGCGACCUGCUCCCCGUGAGUGAGUUCCUCGGGAUCAACUAG